AUCCUACGGGACGCAGCAGUAGGGAAUCUUCCACAAUGGGCGAAAGCCUGAUGGAGCAACGCCGCGUGGGUGAAGAAGGCCUUCGGAUCGUAAAACCCUGUUGUUAGAGAAGAAAGUGCGUGAGAGUAACUGUUCACGUUUCGACGGUAUCUAACCAGAAAGCCACGGCUAACUACGUGCCAGCAGCCGCGGUACUACGUAGGUGGCAAGCGUUAUCCGGAUUUAUUGGGCGUAAAGGGAACGCAGGCGGUCUUUUAAGUCUGAUGUGAACGCCUUCGGCUUAACCGGAGUCGUGCAUUGGAACA
RNAcentral lists this ribosomal RNA (305 nucleotides) under uncultured bacterium. Its description in RNAcentral is "bacterial SSU rRNA". It matches the Rfam family "Bacterial small subunit ribosomal RNA", at positions 335 to 633 of the family's 1533-position model. The record is from RNAcentral.